Molecule: long non-coding RNA, 1214 nt
Filed under: Oncorhynchus mykiss (rainbow trout)
Lineage: Eukaryota; Metazoa; Chordata; Actinopteri; Salmoniformes; Salmonidae
Description: lncRNA (ENSOMYG00000073528.1)
Source: RNAcentral
GUAGAGGUGGAGUGUAUUUAGGAACAACAAUCACACUGACUGUAGAGGUGGAGUGUAUUUAGGAUCAACAAUCACACUGACUGUAGAGGUGGAGUGUAUUUAGGAACAACAACCACACUGACAGUAGAGGUGGAUUGUAUUUAGGAACAACAAUCACACUGACUGUAGAGGUGAAGUGUACGUAGGAACAACAAUCACACUGACUGUAGAGGUGGAGUGUAUGUAGGAACAACAACUACACUGACUGUAGAGGUGAAGUGUACGUAGGAACAACAACCACACUGACUGUAGAGGUGAAGUGUACGUAGGAACAACAAUCACACUGACUGUAGAGGUGGAGUGUACGUAGGAACAACAACUACACUGACUGUAGAGGUGGAGUGUACAUAGGAAAAACAACCACACUGACUGUAGUGGUGGAGUGUAUGUAGGAACAACAAUCACACUGACUGUAGAGGUGGAGUGUUUUUAGGAACAACAACCACACUGACUGUAGACGUGGAGUUUAUUUAGGAACAACAAACACACUGACUGUAGAGGUGGAGUGUAUUUAGGAACAAUAACAACACUGAGUGUAGAGGUGGAGUGUAUUUAGGAACAACAACCACACUGACUGUAGAGGUGGAGUGUAUUUAGGAACAACAACCACACUGACUGUAGAGGUGGAGUGUACGUAGGAACAGCAACCACACUGACUAUAGAGGUGGAGUGUAUUUAGGAACAACAACCACACUGACUGUAGAGGUGGAGUGUAUUUAGGAACAACAACCACACUGACUGUAGAGGUGGAGUGUACGUAGGAACAGCAACCACACUGACUGUAGAGGUGGAGUGUAUUUAGGAACAACAACCACACUGACUGUAGAGGUGGAGUGUAUUUAGGAACAACAACCACACUGACAGUAGAGGUGGAUUGUAUUUAGGAACAACAAUCACACUGACUGUAGAGGUGGAGUGUAUUUAGGAUCAACAACCACACUGACUGUAGAGGUGGAGUGUAUUUAGGAACAACAACCACACUGACUGUAGAGGUGGAGUGUAUUUAGGAUCAACAACCCCACUGACUGUAGAGGUGGAGUGUAUGUAGGAACAGCAACCACACUGACUUUAGAGGUGGAGUGUAUUUAGGAACAACAACCACACUGACUGUAGAGGUGGAGUGUAUUUAGGAACAACAAUCACACUGACUGUAGAGGUGGAGUGUAUUUAGGAAC